AUCUCUGUAGAGUCUGCAUAUCAAUAAGCGGAGGAAAAGAAACUAACUAGGAUUCCCUCAGUAACGGCGAGUGAAGCGGGAAGAGCUCAAAUUUGAAAUCUUCAAGGUUUUACCUUGACGAAUUGUAAUUUAAAGAAGUGUUUUCUGUUGGAGUUUUGGUAAAAGUUCUUUGGAAUAGGACAUCAUAGAGGGUGAGAAUCCCGUAUUUGACCAUUAUUUCCAGCUUUGUGAUACACUUUCAAAGAGUCGGAUUGCUUGGGAAUGCAGUCCAAAAUGGGUGGUAAAUUUCAUCUAAAGCUAAAUAUUGGCGAGAGACCGAUAGCGAACAAGUACCGUGAGGGAAAGAUGAAAAGAACUUUGAAAAGAGAGUUAAACAGUACGUGAAAUUGUCAAAAGGGAAGCGUUUGGACACCAGUGUUGUUUCUAGCGAAAAUCAAUUUAUGAUGGCUUGAUGCUAAGCUUUAAGACUUUAUCCGCUUGUUGUUUAGUUUUCUUGUCUUUGUGAAUGCACUUUUCGUGGAACAAGUCAACAUCAAUUUCUUUUGCUGUAAAAGGGUAAGAGGAAGGUGGCUUCGGCUUCGGUUGAAGUGUUUAUAGCCUUUUAUCUCUGCAGUCGGAGAGAUUGAGGUCUGCAGCGUAGACUCUUCGGGGUUAGAUACGUCGGUGCUAAGCUGUAGCUUUUCAUAGACAACUUGUUGACUAUGUUUAGUCAUGUGGCUUACCCGCUGGCGCUAUUUUACCUACGCUUAGGAUGUUGAGUCAUCACACAUCUCU
RNAcentral lists this ribosomal RNA (774 nucleotides) under uncultured Neocallimastigales. Its description in RNAcentral is "partial large subunit ribosomal RNA". It matches the Rfam family "Eukaryotic large subunit ribosomal RNA", at positions 24 to 614 of the family's 3401-position model. Lineage: Eukaryota; Fungi; Neocallimastigomycota; Neocallimastigomycetes; Neocallimastigales. The record is from RNAcentral.